UACCCGCGGCCCGAGUGGUGCUCAUUAUUAUUGAGCCUAAAGCGUCCGUAGCUGGCCGGGCAAAUCUCCGGGUAAAUCGGGCCGCUCAACGGUCCGAAUUCCGGAGACACUGCUCGGCUUGGGAUCGGGAGAGGGUGAGGGUACUCCCGGGGUAGGGGUAAAAUCCUGUAAUCCUGGGGGGACCACCAGUGGCGAAGGCGUUCACCUAGAACGAAUCCGACAGUGAGGGACGAAGCCCUAGGGCGCAAACGGGAUUAGAUACCCCGGUAGUCUAGGGUGUAAACGCUGCAGACUUGGUGUUGGGGGUCCUGCGUGGGCUCCCAGUGCCGGAGCGAAGGUGUUGAGUCUGCCGCUUGGGGAGUACGGUCGCAAGACUGAAACUUAAAGGAAUUGGCGGGAGAGCACCGCAACGGGAGGAGCGUGCGGUUCAAUUGGAUUCAACGCCGGAAAACUCACCGGAGGCGACGGAGGGAUGAAAGCCAGGCUGAAGACCUUGCCCGAUUCUCCGAGAGGUGGUGCAUGGCCGUCGUCAGUUCGUACCGUAAGGCGUUCUGUUAAGUCAGAUAACGAACGAGACCCUCGCCGUUAGUCGCGAUCUUACAAGCGAUUGUAGGAGCACACUAGCGGGAUCGCUGCCGUUAAGGCAGAGGAAGGAGAGGUCUACGGUAGGUCCGUAUGCCCCGAAUCUUCCGGGCAACACGCGCGCUACAAAGGUGGGGACAAUGGGACCCGACCUCGAAAGGGGGAGGCAAUCCUGAAACCCCAUCGUAGUCUGGAUCGAGGGCUGUAACUCGCCCUCGUGAAAAUGGAUUCCGUAGUAAUCGCGGGUCAACAUCCCGCGGUGAAUGUGCCCCUGCUCUU
This 861-nucleotide ribosomal RNA is filed under the name uncultured archaeon. Its description in RNAcentral is "bacterial SSU rRNA". It matches the Rfam family "Archaeal small subunit ribosomal RNA", at positions 474 to 1337 of the family's 1478-position model. The record is from RNAcentral.